Molecule: ribosomal RNA, 480 nt
Filed under: uncultured bacterium
Lineage: Bacteria
Description: partial 16S ribosomal RNA
Rfam family: Bacterial small subunit ribosomal RNA
Source: RNAcentral
GACGAACGCUGGCGGCGCGCUUAACACAUGCAAGUCGAGCGAUGAAACUUUAACAGAACCCUUCGGGGCGAAGAUAAAGUGGAUUAGCGGCGGACGGGUGAGUAACACGUGAGUAACCCGCCUUAGACAUUGGGAUAGCCUCGGGAAACCGGGAUUAAUACCAAAUAAAAUCAUAAUGACACAUGUCAUAACGAUCAAAACUCCGGUGGUCUAAGAUGGACUCGCGUCCCAUUAGCUAGUUGGUAGAGUAAAAGCCUACCAAGGCGACGAUGGGUAGCCGGCCUGAGAGGGUGAACGGCCACAUUGGAACUGAGAAACGGUCCAAACUCCUACGGGAGGCAGCAGUGGGGAAUAUUGCACAAUGGAGGGAACUCUGAUGCAGCGACGCCGCGUGAACGAAGAAGGCUUUCGAGUCGUAAAGUUCUUUUAUAUGGGAAGAUAAUGACGGUACCAUAAGAAAAAGCCCCGGCUAACUACGUG